GAUUCCCUCCCCGCUCUCUCUCUCUAACGAUAAAAAUUCUCCCUCAAAGGGUCGCCUCAAAACGAAACCCUCAUUUUUUUUUUCUUCCCUGAAAAUCCCCAAACCCCUCAAAACCCCUCCAAAAUUAAAAAUCCCCAAAUUUCAAAAUCCAGAAUCCCUAACUCAGAGAGAGAGAGAGAGAGAUUUAUAGCUACAAAUCUAGACAAUAUUAUUAUAAGCAAUGGAUUCAGAUCAGGGAAAGCUAUUUAUUGGAGGGAUUUCGUGGGAGACAUCAGAGGAGAAGCUCAGAGACUACUUUGGGCAAUACGGGGACGUUUUGCAGGCUGUCGUUAUGAAAGAUAAGACUACUGGUAGACCUAGAGGCUUUGGCUUUGUCGUCUUUGCAGAUCCUGCCGUGCUUGAUAUGGUUCUUCAAGAUAAGCACACCAUUGAUGGUAGAAUGGUUGAGGCAAAGAGGGCCUUAUCAAGAGAGGAGCAGCAAACCAAUGCCAGGGCCGGAAACCUGAAUCCUGCUAGAAACACCAGCGGUGGUGGAAAUAUUCGGACCAAGAAGAUAUUUGUUGGAGGAUUGCCUCCCACUCUAACUGAAGAUGGAUUUCGUCAGUAUUUUGAAGCCUUUGGCUUUGUUGCUGAUGUAGUAAUAAUGUAUGACCAGAGCACCCAGCGACCUCGUGGAUUUGGCUUUAUUUCUUUUGACACUGAAGAUGCAGUUGACCGGGUGUUACAGAGAUCGUUCCAUGAUUUGAACGGUAAGCAAGUUGAAGUGAAACGGGCUCUUCCUAAAGAGGCCAAUCCUGGUGGGGGUGGCCGCUCCAUGGGUGGCAGUUACCAGAACUAUGGUGCAUCUGGUGGCAACACAAGCUCAUAUGAUGGUAGAAUGGAGAGGUAUAUGCAGCCUCAAGGUACUGGAGGUGGUUUUCCUCCUUAUGGCUCAUCUGGCUAUAGCACAGCUGGAUAUGGAUAUGGUCCUGCCACUAAUGGUGUUGGUUAUGGUGGUUAUAGCGGCUAUACUGGAGCUGGAGCUGGUUAUGGGGGACCUGCAGGUGCAGCUUAUGGGAAUCCUAAUGUUCCAAAUGCUGGCUAUGUAAGUGGUGCACCUGGUGCACCCAGAAGUUCAUGGAACAGUCAAGGUUCAUCUGGCUAUGGUGCUAUGGGUUAUGGGAAUGCUGGUUCUUGGGGCGCUCAAAAUGCUGGGGCUGGCAGUGGUGGCCCUGGUUCAGUACCUGCUGGUCAAUCUCCUGGUGGAGCCGCUGGGUAUGGGAAUCAAGGUUAUGGGUACAGUAGUUACGGUGGAAAUGAUGGAUCAUAUGGGAAUCCAGCUGGGUAUGGUGCUGUUGGAGGACGUUCUGGGGGCACUCCAAACAGUAAUGUUGGUGGUCCUGGUGGAGCAGAACUACAGGGGAGUGGCGGUGGCUACAUGGGGAGUGGAUAUGGUGAUGCAAAUGGAAAUUCUGGGUAUGGAAAUGCAGCGUGGAGAUCUGAGCAAUCACAAGCUUCUGGAAAUUAUGGGGCUCCUCAAGCAAAUGGUCCUCAUGGUGGACAGGUUGGAUAUGGUGGUGGUUAUGGUAGUUCUCAGGCUCGAAAAGCCCAACAACAGUGAUUUGUGAACACCUUGGUUGCCUACUAGGUCUACAUCUUUGUUUGUGGGCGUGUCCAGCUGUUCUCAAGAGGUUCUCCUAAGAUUUCUUGCUCCCAGCACCAGGGGGGAGGCUCAAAUUGGAUGAUGCACUUUGGGAAUGGAGGAGAUGCCCAAGUUCUAAGGUGGAGUCAAAGUGUCCACUCAUGGCUGAACCCGAGCUUCCUAGUGGGGGUUGGUCAGCAUGGAAGUGAAUUUGAAGAGGACUUGUCAGUUGGAUUUGUGAUUAACCCAAGAAAGGCUUUUUCCAGCUAGGUGAUGCCACUGUCACCCUUUCUUGCAGAUUCUUGGCAUUGGAAGUCAUAAAUUUCUCGAUCAUUCCGAUUUCUUUUGGACUGAUGGAUAUGUAAGACAAAAGAGCUUGCGCUAAACAAAUGGAAGGUUGUGCUGAAAUUGCAUAUAGUGAUGGGAAACAAAUGUUAAGAGGGCCAGCUGCCAUCCACUUGUCUUUCCAGAAUUGGAUUGUCUCCCCAUUACCAAUUUGUGUAACUGCAGCUAUUCUUCAAGGACGAUGAAAUUGUUGUGUCUGAAUUAAUGAUUGAGUAGAAUCCCCCCCACGUAGCUGACAAUGGUCUGUUGAACAGAGGAAGUCCAUUUUCAAAAGCAGGGCAGUAUGUUGUGCAGAUGAAAUCCUGCCACCCACCUGGAUGAUUAUCCCCUAAACACCAAAGCCACUUGAACAACAAUGCUUUAUUCUUCCCUUGUAAUGACCCCAAUCCUAAACCUCCUCUGUUUUUGGACCUAAUUACAACACUCCAAGCCACUUUGCACAUUUUCUCUCCAUGUGAAACACCACCCCACAGAAACUUUUGUUGGAUUGAUGUAAGCACCUUGGCAACCCCCUGCGGCAACAGAAAUAUUGACAUAUAAUACAGUGGCAGGGAGGAGAGAACAGUCUUGAUAAGGCAGACACGUCCUGCUAAACUUAGAAAUCUUCCCUUCCAUCUUCCCAGUCUAGUGCGGGGAAUUUAUUAACAACCGGCUUCCAAGUUGAAAUUCUCUUCGGAUUUGCACCCAAAGAUAGUCCCAAGUAUCUGAUGGCAAUGUGUCCCAUUUACAGUAGGUUACAUUGGUUAUACCAGCCGUAUAAUCUUCAUCAAGAUUAAUACCAACAAGAGAGCUCUUAUGAAAGUUAA
RNA transcript from Populus trichocarpa (black cottonwood), 2772 nucleotides. It is a transcript of the gene named heterogeneous nuclear ribonucleoprotein 1, with no coding region annotated. Lineage: Eukaryota; Viridiplantae; Streptophyta; Magnoliopsida; Malpighiales; Salicaceae. The record is from RefSeq and is a predicted model, not a curated record. The transcript has 4 exons.